GGGUUUCUGCAACCUCCAGCAACGGCUGGAACUAUGUCGGAAGAGACUCUUAAUCUCUAGGUUCCAGGUUCGAGUCCUGGGCGGCUCA
RNAcentral lists this transfer RNA (88 nucleotides) under Actinomycetota bacterium. Its description in RNAcentral is "tRNA-Lys". The record is from RNAcentral. Lineage: Bacteria; Bacillati; Actinomycetota.